AUUGAACGCUGGCGGCAGGCUUAACACAUGCAAGUCGAGCGAGCGGCGGACGGGUGAGUAAUGUCUGGGAAACUGCCUGAUGGAGGGGGAUAACUACUGGAAACGGUAGCUAAUACCGCAUACUAUCAGAUGUGCCCAUAUGGGAUUAGCUAGUAGGUGGGGUAAUGGCUCACCUAGGCGACGAUCCCUAGCUGGUCUGAGAGGAUGACCAGCCACACUGGGACUGAGACACGGCCCAGACUCCUACGGGAGGCAGCAGUGGUGAAUAUUGCACAAUGGGCGCAAGCCUGAUGCAGCCAUGCCGCGUGUGUGAAGAAGGCCUUCGGGUUGUAAAGCACUUUCAGCGAGGAGGCGUUACUCGCAGAAGAAGCACCGGCUAACUCCGUGCCAGCCGCCGCGGUAAUAC
Molecule: ribosomal RNA, 406 nt
Filed under: uncultured bacterium
Lineage: Bacteria
Description: partial 16S ribosomal RNA
Rfam family: Bacterial small subunit ribosomal RNA
Source: RNAcentral